GCCCGAAAGGAAAUCACUGUUCGGCAAGCCGGUGUCCUGCGAGCAGGAACAAGGACGAAGACCCACAACGACCACCUGCGACGGCGAAUUAUUAAAGCAAAAAUGGUUGCUAUUGGAGGAGAUACUUUCGACAAAGCUAUAAAAAAAUUUUAUCAAUGAUCAUGACUGAUGAGUUGGCAGGCAAAUGUACUUGGAUCAUUAGAAAACCUGGCAAGAUCAAAAUUUCAAAUUACAAUUUCCCUAACAUAUAAUAAGUAUUUACAUCACCAAAAAUAUGGUACUACUUAUACAGUAGUAAAAAAACGGAUACAACUUUAGCUGCAAAAAUAUGGUGACCACAUAAAGCUUAAACAAGAACAAGCUCGAAAGGAUAAAGAACAAGACCAAAAAGAAUAUGAACAAGAACAACGGUUAUUAAAUAAUUAAAGAAAAACCAAGUUAGUUUAAAAUA
Molecule: non-coding RNA, 451 nt
Organism: Nylanderia fulva
Lineage: Eukaryota; Metazoa; Arthropoda; Insecta; Hymenoptera; Formicidae
Source: RefSeq, a predicted model, not a curated record